AGCUUAGUAGUUCUUAGUUGGGCUAUCAAAAAACAGUGAUGACAUGACACGACGUCAUGGCAAGCCAUCAGCGACACGACGUCGCAUUGAUGGCGUUCACGUUCGUUUUCAUUACAUAAAUCAGCACAACUUAGAAAUACUUAGCU
This 146-nucleotide non-coding RNA is filed under the name uncultured Lachnospira sp. Lineage: Bacteria; Bacillati; Bacillota; Clostridia; Lachnospirales; Lachnospiraceae. The record is from RNAcentral.